This 4012-nucleotide long non-coding RNA is filed under the name Phocoena sinus (vaquita). Its description in RNAcentral is "lncRNA (ENSPSNG00000002360.1)". Lineage: Eukaryota; Metazoa; Chordata; Mammalia; Artiodactyla; Phocoenidae. The record is from RNAcentral.
AUGGCAGAAGAGUUGAAAUCCACUUUGCAAUAUUAUCUUGUGAAAAACAGGGACAGAUUUUCUCUGUAGCCCAGUAGGGUUUGACCUCAUUACUAUGGUGCUUUGGGUGAGGACCUCUUCCUGGUUAUCCUACUUUUUUGUGAACAGCUAAAAAUCCUGGGAGUCUCUACUGUUAAGCUGCCCUUAAAGGAUAAAGCAGGGACCACCUGUCUCAGUGGGUCCAUAUUUCUUUUAAAAUUAGCUAUUUGAAGAAACUAACAGCAGUAGUUGCAGUCUUCUAAGAUAAAUCUUUCAUUUGGUACCCAUUGUGUAAAAUAGUGAUCAAUAUUCUCAAGCUUCUCCACAUCAAAUUGCCUUUGUCUAGCUGUUUCAACUCCAGUUUAUAAAGCUUACUGGUUUUCAGAGAAGAGUGUAAAACUUUUUCUAAGGCAAAUGGUAUGGCAGGAACUAUAGCGUACGUGAUUAUUGAUAUUCCUGGGUGGACAGAUACAAUUUAAAACAUUUUAGGGAUGUUCAGGUAGCCUGCUGUAUUUCGACUUCCCCAGGCACUAUUGUUGUCUCACAUCAUAAUUAUGUAUUUGCCAUAGGAGAAAUGAUGCAAAUAUGUGAUUAUAGUGUCACCAGAUUUCUGUUAAAACCAAGGUAGUAAUCAAAAACCUAACAUUGAUAAACUAUUCUUUCUUUCUCAUUUUAGAAUGAUGCAAAGAUUUCAAAUAAACCUGUACAGAGUCAACUUUUAAUGCCUAGCUGGAAUCUGAAUUCUGAGGAAAACUCUAAAACACUUAACAAAUCUUUAAGGAAUUUUUAUUUUUCAGAUCAUAAUUUGAAAUGAUGUAUACCUUUUUGUGAUAAUUAUCAGAGCAAUUCAGAAACCAGUUUUCUACCAUUUUAGUUGAAAGACAAUAGUAGAUACAAUUGGGAUACUUGUUGGUAAUUUUAGAGUAAACUUCUACUUCUGCAUCAUACCUUUUGUAGAUAAUGGAACCUAUGUAGUUCAGAAAUUCUUUGUGGUAUAUGAGAAAAGUGUUUUGUAAAUGCUGAGAAUUAUACAAAUGAUACUUGUUAUUUUCAUGUGUAUUUGUAAGAUCAUGCCCAUCCAUAAAUAGACACUUCACACAAAGAAGACUUUCUCAACAUAACCUGUAUUUUAGUAUUUUCGUCUAUUAUAAAAGUAUUAACUAUUUACUUGUAUUUUGUUAUACAUUUAUUUUUAAUGUUCAGGUGUCUGUUGUAGUAAAUUUGAAAUCCUAUAAAUCAGAAUUUGUUUAAACAUGGACCUCAUGCCAAUAUUGUUUAAUUUUUUUCUCUACAUAAUUUAAAACUACAUAAAUUAAGUAGGCCACCAAGAACUUAGUUUGAGUCCUAUGAAAUUAAAGUAACAAUUUUUAAAGUUACCCAACUGAUACUUUAAUUUUCUUAAAUUAUUUAUUUUCCUUUACUGAUUUUUGAUAAAUAAUGAUGUUAGCAUUGAUAAAGUAAUAAAGAAUUUUAGGGUAUAAUUAGUAUAUCAAAAGGGAUUUAUCAACCAAAAUGGUAUCAGAUUAUAUUCAUGCUGUCAUCACAUAGUUGACAGAUUUUCUUUUGGUGGGUGAUGCUCGUAUAAGCCUUUGGGUUAGUGUGUAUGUAUAUAGUCAAUACAUGUGUGUAUAUAUGUAGAUAGAUGGUAUGCUCAUCUACACACAUACAGACAGACAUCAAGAAUUUUAUCAGUUUCUGAUCAGAAAAAGGCACAUAAAGUAAAAAUUAGUUGACCUUAUUAAAUUCAAUUCCAGAAGUAUAUUUUUUUAAUUUGGGCAUUUCUAGAAUACUUUGUUACAUAUGAAAGUACAUGAUGAAUAUUAGGAUGAUGACUCAUACAGUCAGAAUCUAUAUAAUGCAUAUACAGUUUUACAAGAUCAGAAAACAAAUUGACGGGAGAUACAAGUUUGCUAAACCUAGCCAUUGAUAUACCUCAGUGGGGAAGGAAUUCAAAAGUAUUUUUUGUGGGUCAACAGAAAUGUACAGUUUUUUCUCCAUGAACUUUAAUCAUUUUUCAUGUGUUCCUAUAUGUGAGUGAGCUAUAAAGUGGUCUAAUUUUUACAACAAAAAGGCCUUCUUCCUUUUCUACUCUAAUCUUCCCACUGACUUCACUGCACAGGUAUGAAAUGGUAGCCUAUUGUAUCUUCAGUAACCUUUUUUUUUCCCCUAGAUGACUGAAAUAUAGGUAUUUACUCCAUUUAAACCAGGUGUUAACAAAAAAGUGAUGUAAAUACUCAGGGAGGGUAUUAACUUGUCAUUUUUGCCUAAUUGGAGUGUUUAAAGUGCCAUAUCUGAGUAACUUGCAGUUCAUGAUUCUAGAGUAAAUUCAGUUUGGUAAAGGGCUUCACACAUGGUGGUGGUUAAACAUUCAUUUUUUUAUAUUUAGAAAGAUGAAAAUGUUUUGUGGACUGAUACAUUUUCUCUUAGUGAAUAUGAAUUGUUUAUGUAUCUCUACUGUCAUACCCUUUUGAAAUGAAACUCAGGAAAAUACAAAGGUUCAAUUAUACUACUUUUGUCAGUGUACAAACCAGGUGUAUUUUUUUUUUCCUGUUGUGUGGAUAUGGCAAUAGAUUUUUUAAAAAGAAAUGUGAGAACCCAUACAUGAAAAGAGAGGGUUGAAUCAUCAGUGUGUGCCUUUGUUUCUUGAGAUUUAUAUGUGGAAAAGAUACCUUCUACUCCAGACUGUAUUUUCAAAGAGAAGAGAUUGCUCUUUAUGUGGUGCCAAGUGAUAAGAUAACGUCUCUUAAAGGCUUCCUGUGGACUGCCUUUAUUUUCCUAAACUCAAGACACCAGUUAACCUCAGCAUAAUUUUGGCCUUUCUUAGAAUUUCUUGUGCAUUAUAUUGAAAACCAGGUUUAUAUCACCUCACCCCAUUAUUCCUUUUAGUUAAAUAAAUUCACCAUACCAAGAAACCAGAAUGGGGCAAUUUGGUUGGCCUUUUAAGGCAGUAGGUUUGACUAGCUAGCUAUACUUACUGUCACAUCUAAUGCUAGUCAUCAGAAACCACUUGAGCCAGGAGUGUGAACUGAUAAUUCCAGAGACAGUUUCAACAUACUUCAGACUUUUUAAAAAUGUUUUUUAUGAAUGUUUUACAUUUGUGUGAUUGCCUUAGAUAUUAAAUUUUUGUAGUGCUAAAGAUCAUCAUUAAAAAAUGUUUUGAAUACCAGUAGUUAUAACUUAUUUUAUGUAUUGUCCCAAAGAAAAGAAUUUGUUUUAAUGUUUUCAAAAUAACUGCAUCUGAAUUUGUUUAUAUGCCUUAAGUUCUCUAGUGCUAUUUCAACUUUUCUUUCAAUCUAAAUAAAGCUUACCUUAGAUAAGUUUCAUACUUGUUUCCUAUAGAGUAAGUUUCCCUUCUUGAAUUUUUUAAUGAGCACCAGCCUUGUGGUUGCUUGAAAGAAAAUGUUAAGAAAGGUUGUUGGGUGUUUGGAGUUUUAUUAUAUUGGGGGACUUUUUUUGUUUGAUGCCAAGGUGCUUUUUAAGAUAUUAAGAAAAACAUCUAUCUUAUGUUGAUUAAACCCUUGUAAACAUCAUUUGCAAUAUCUGCAUCUAAAGUCAAAAAAGUAAGUCUACUUAUUUUUGUUUCAUUCUUACGUACUGUUUUGUUUCUUUUGUUUUUUCUUCUACAGGCUCUUUCAUUUAUCUUUCCUGAAAAAGUUCUUAGUCUUUCUUUCUCCAACACCCCUCCCCAUGGUUUCUUAAUUUAAAUCUUGUUGAGAGUUUCUGGAGCUAUCUAAGACAACACGAUUAUAGAGUUGAACAAAAGCAUAAUAUGCUUUACAGCUUGUACAGACUUGUGGCAGCCAAGUGUCUUUUGCUUUCAGAUGCUCCAGAGUCUUCACAGUGGGGAAAAAAAAAAAAAAAAGCUUUGUAUUUCUUUGUUUUCAAUUUAGUUGCAGCACACUAAUACUUAUAUGUCUUGUUUAAAUAUACUUUGUGCAUAGUUGUCUUUAAUUUUUAAAAAGUUGUAUCUAAUAAAAAAUGUCUUUUAACCAUU